ACAUGACACAUAUCACUGUGGACAUUGUCUAUGGCCUUAUUACAACCAGCAAGAGAAUUACAUAAGCGCGUGAGAGCGCGCGCGCACACACACACGUACACACAUGCAUGACAUACAUGGAUUGACUAGAGGUCGCCCCAUAUAGUCAACAAUUUAUUGGAGGUAAACAUUAGCAUAACUUGGCCAUAGAUUGAAGCAAUCCAACACAUGCCGAUGAAUGGCAUCCAUGUUGGUAGUAAUGCAAGCAUAUUAUUUUAGUACAGUCCUUCCAUCUUCGGAGCCACUCCCAUUUCAUCCAUCUUAGCAACCACUGUGAAAUUAAGAUAUCGAACUCCCAUUAGCUCAUGAGUCAAUUUUGCAAGGGCAGGAGAGUAUAAGGGGUCUUUGUGUAGGAAGUAAUAUGCUUGAAGUUGUGAGAUGGGACAUGAAGUCAACGAAGUACAUUAAUGAAAAUCCGUGGAAGGUCACAAAUAUGUAUUAGUCCACCAUACGACACAGAUCUUGUAUUUACAAAUAUCAAAGGCAUUGAUUAAAGUGAGUUUAGUGCAUUUACCAGAAUCUUCAAGAAGACACGGGAAACAACAAGUGUUCUUGCAGGCAAAGUCAGAGCCACCCGCAAAAAUACAACUAGAACAACAUGCUUUUGCGGCGAAGCUUAUGCAGCAGCCGCAAUCUGCGGUGGUCGAGUUGACGGCGAGGCUCAGGAUGAGCAGGCACAUGAUCACCUUCAGAGUGGUAGUGCUAAUGAGCAUCCUCUUACCCUCCAUUUUCUCUUGUUGAUGUUUCCUGCCUUGGUUAACUAGCUAAGUUUCUUGGUUUUGUGUUGAGAGGUGCUUCUUAAAUGGAUGUUGCUCGCUGCAAUUUAUAGGCAAUUGCAUUACGUUAUGGUAUGUAUAAGGUGCGAGUGGGUGGAAAAUCAUGUAGUAUUCAAUGUGACAGUAUCGACAAUUGAUGACUUUGGUUGGUAAACCGGACAAAUUCAUUCACACGUAUCUUGCGGAGGAAAUGCUGCAUCACCUACCAUAUUCAAUAUUAGGGAGAAAGCCUGAACCACGCCAAUAAUUUGCAACGAGGCACAAAAAGCUACCCCAAGUAGUGGAGUUCGUAUGAUAUUAGCAAGCUAUAAGCGAUAACCAUGGAGGCAAUUAACACUAGCCCGUCAAAGAUGGUGCUAGCCACUUAUGGUGUUGAAUGCAACUUUUUGCAAAUAUGUAUGGACUUUGGUUAGUAAAAUUUCAACAGGCGCUACAUAUAUAUUUUGCUACACAAAAUUGAUUGGAAGCAAUAGAGUAGGCUAGUUCUUAGGUAGACCUUUAGCAAUGUUCAUCUUGGCCAUGGUGUCAGAGAUCAGAUUAUAAGUAUGACGUACAUGCAACUUGAUCCCUUGUCCUCAUAUUUUAAUUCCCGCAUUCACAAGUUGCACGUACUAAGCACUCCCAAUUAUUACCAUUUUCAUUAUGCAACUCUUUCUAUUUUUUAUUUAUUUUUUAAUAUACAAAUGUCAUUUAACAAACAAUCUAUUUUAUUCAGCUAGCGGAACUCGGGCAAAACCGUUUUUUAUCUAAGUCUACAAAACCUAGUAUAUUGUUUGGGCAUACAUUUUACAUUUCUAAGAUAGAACCCCAAGAUAUUAGGCACUGUGUCAGUUGUAUCAAACUUAUUUCUAUAUGACAUCGAAAUGUUAGAGAUAUUGAUAUGAUGCAAUGCACCGGGAUUAUCCUUAAAAAUGAAAAACAAUUAAAAGGAGGAAAACUUGUGCAAAGAGUCCUUACGUGAUAUGGUCCUCAUCAAAAUUACCAAAUUUGGAAUAUGGUGCUUUGAAAAAAAGAGUGUUCUCAAAAAGAGGUAUCAUGCCUGGCUUAUCUUGGCUUUCAACCCAAAUGGCCAUAUCCAUUGCAAACAUUGUUUUUCGUUUUCCCAUAUUCGGCACACACAUGCAUCUUGGAACACAAAUCCAACCAACAACCAAUGAUAGUUUCAAUCCUUAGAGGUGCGGGCGAGGACAAUUAAAAACUUGUGAAAUAGGUGUACCCGAAGAAUAAUUCCCUAUUCGAAUAUAUAGAUUGGGUCACUCUGUCUCAAAAUCACAACAAAAAAAUGUUUUGUUGAACAUCCUCUGUUAGAUAAGACAACAAGAUGAUGGUAGUUUUGGGUCCUUCACAAAACAAGAAACUAACCAAGAGAUUAGGAUGACUGAUCUAUCCCGCGUAUGUCUUGCAAAUCAGUUGUUGAUAACAUUGCCAUUAGGUGUUUGAUCGCAUUCACAUUCAACAUCUUUGGGUAUUUUACUAUCAUUGAUGUUGACACAUAUGGUUGUUUCCAAGAAAAAUUUAACAAAAUCCGAAUGAUUGAGAUAACCAUCUGCAAUGACUAAGAAAACCCUCUGCAAUAUUCAAUAGCUUAAAGUAUUUUGCAACUUAUCUCUACAAAAAAGGAGUAUUAAUCAACUUGCUGCUCUACAAAACAUGAUACUACCUCAUCCAUAUCUAGACAAAUCUCAAAAAAGUACUAUUGAUCGGAGGGAGUACAAAGGCUACUGGUAUACUUUCACAUGAAAUACUUUCUUCUUGCAAAAGAUAUAAAUGGUGCUAAUAUUAUACAUUUAAGUUUUAUAGAGGCCCGGUGUGUUCGUUAUGCUUGUAUCACUUGAUGUGACAUUCUCAUGAAAUAAAAAGUGACAUUUAUCCAAAAAAGACCUCCAGUCUUGUGUAAACUCCAAUCUUUAUGGAAAACCAUGCUUGCAGAAUGAACCAAUCGGCUAAUGCCAGUCUUGUGUAAUAUAUGUAGAUCAUCUCACAACUUUUGCAUUAGAUCAUGGUUACUUCAUAACAUGAUGAGAAGAAAUUCAAACCCAUGAAAAGCUUAUGCAAAUACGAUAACCUUGUAAAUUGCAUGAAAUAGAACCAACAAUUGAAAAUAUUAUAAUUAGGUGUUCGUUCACAUUCAUAUUCAACAGCUCUGGAUAUUCAUUAUUGUUUCAUGUUUUUUAAGAGAUCUUAAUGAUUCAAAUUGCAUUACGUUAUGAUAUGUAUAAGGUGCGAGUGGGUGGAAAAUCAUGUAGUAUUCAAUGUGACAGUAUCGACAAUUGAUGACUUUGGUUGGUAAACCGGACAAAUUCAUUCACACGUAUCUUGCGGAGGAAAUGCUGCAUCACCUACCAUAUUCAAUAUUAGGGAGAAAGCCUGAACCACGCCAAUAAUGUGCAACGAGGCACAAAAAGCUACCCCAAGUAGUGGAGUUCGUAUGAUAUUAGCAAGCUAUAAGCGAUAACCAUGGAGGCAAUUAACACUAGCCCGUCAAAGAUGGUGCUAGCCACUUAUGGUGUUGAAUGCAACUUUUUGCAAAUAUGUAUGGACUUUGGUUAGUAAAAUUUCAAUAGGCGCUACAUAUAUAUUUUGCUAUACAGAAUUGAUUGGAAGCAAUAGAGUAGGCUAGUUCCUAGGUAGACCUUUAGCAAUGUUCAUCUUGGCCAUGGUGUCAGAGAUCAGAUUAUAAGUAUGACGUACAUGCAACUUGAUCCCUUGUCCUCAUAUUUUAAUUCCCGCAUUCACAAGUUGCACGUACUAAGCACUCCCAAUUAUUACCAUUUUCAUUAUGCGACUCUUUCUAUUAUUUAUUUAUUUUUUAAUAUAUAAAUGUCAUUUAACAAACAAUCUAUUUUAUUCAGCUAGCGGAACUCGGGCAAAACCAUUUUUUAUCUAAGUCUAGAAAACCUAGUAUAUUGUUUGGGCAUACAUUUUACAUUUCUAAGAUAGAACCCCAAGAUAUUAGGCACUGUGUCAGUUGUAUCAAACUUAUUUCUAUAUGACAUCGAAAUGUUAGAGAUAUUGAUAUGAUGCAAUGCACCGGGAUUAUCCUUAAAAAUGAAAAACAAUUAAAAGGAGGAAAACUUGUGCAAAGAGUCCUUACGUGAUAUGGUCCUCAUCAAAAUUACCAAAUUUGGAAUAUGGUGCUUUGAAAAAAAGAGUGUUCUCAAAAAGAGGUAUCAUGCCUGGCUUAUCUUGGCUUUCAACCCAAAUGGCCAUAUCCAUUGCAAACAUUGUUUUUCGCUUUCCCAUAUUCGGCACACAUGCAUCUUGGAACACAAAUCCAACCAACAACCAAUGAUAUUUUCAAUUCUUAGAGGUGCGGGCGAGGACAAUUAAAAACUUGUGAAAUAGGUGUACCCGAAGAUUAAUUCGCUAUUCGAAUAUAUAGAUUGGGUCACUCUGUCUCAAAAUCACAACAAAAAAAUGUUUUGUUGAACAUCCUCUGUUAGAUAAGACAACAAGAUGAUGGUAGUUUUGGGUCCUUCACAAAACAAGAAACUAACCAAGAGAUUAGGAUGACUGAUCUAUCCCGCGUAUGUCUUGCAAAUCAGUUGUUGAUAACAUUGCCAUUAGGUGUUUGAUCGCAUUCACAUUCAACAUCUUUGGGUAUUUUACUAUCAUUGAUGUUGACACAUAUGGUUGUUUCCAAGAAAAAUUUAACAAAAUCCGAAUGAUUGAGAUAACCAUCUGCAAUGACUAAGAAAACCCUCUGCAAUAUUCAAUAGCUUAAAGUACUUUGCAACUUAUCUCUACAAAAAAGGAGUAUUAAUCAACUUGCUGCUCUACAAAACAUGAUUCUACGUCAUCCAUAUCUAGACAAAUCUCAAAAAAGUACUAUCGAUCGGAGGGAGUACAAAGGCUACUAGUAUACUUUCACAUGAAAUACUUUCUUCUUGCAAAAGAUAUAAAUGGUGCUAAUAUUAUACAUUUAAGUUUUAUAGAGGCCCGCUGUGUUCGUUAUGCUUGUAUCACUUGAUGUGACAUUCUCAUGAAAUAAAAAGUGACAUUUAUCCAAAAAAGACCUCCAGUCUUGUGUAAACUCCAGUCUUUAUGGAAAACCAUGCCUGCAGAAUGAACCAAUCGGCUAAUGCCAGUCUUGUGUAAUAUAUGUAGAUCAUCUCACAACUUUUGCAUUAGAUCAUGGUUACUUCAUAACAUGAUGAGAAGAAAUUCAAACCCAUGAAAAGCUUAUGCAAAUACGAUAACCUUGUAAAUUGCAUGAAAUAGAACCAACAAUUGAAAACAUUAUAAUUAGGUGUUCGUUCACAUUCAUAUUCAACAGCUCUGGAUAUUCAUUCUUGUUUCAUGUUUUUUAAGAGAUCUUAAUGAUUCAGAUUGCCCUCUGCAUCAAGGGAGAGGAUGCUUAAAGUAAUUUUUUUUCAAAUGUUCUAUUAAAGAAACUAGUAUUGCUCAACCUGCUGCUAUAGAAAAUAGAAAUAAAGGCGCAUAUGCUCCUUGGGUGCCCCAGAUUUUAGCCUAUGUAUCCAUAUGUAGGGUAAUAUCAGUGACAAUGUUUUCGAUGGUGUCAAGGAGAGGAUCAUCUACAACUUAGAACAUCUUGUUCAUGGAACCCCAUAUUAUCCAUACUACAUGUAGUAGAAUUAAGCAUGGGAUAAAUAUAGCCUGAGGGCAUUGCUGUUGAGGAGAGAUCACAAAUUUGGAUGGAGAGUGCGUGCCAUAUCCUUCAAGCAGCAGGACAGGUGAAGAAGAGGUUAUGUUCAUCGUGGGCAGAUGGAGCUGUUGAGGAUUCUUUGUUUUUUGUAGAUUGCAUCUUGUGUUUAGUCUGUCCAGGUAGAAGAGCCAGGCGAAGAUCUGUACUCUCUUUCAAGGUGCGGUCGUGUGGAUCCGAAUGCUGCGGGAGAUAGGGUAGCAUAUGCCCCCUCUUGAUGAAAGCUGACCCAUUAAGCAGCCCUCGCUCAUCAGGAUCCUGCAACAGAGAGUUUAACGAGCGAAGCUCUGGCGAGGCAGUUGAGGUUAGUCGGUUACGCAAGGCAAGUUCGACCUGCAUGAUGGCAUCUUGGUGGGAUGGGUGAGAGAAAAUGGUAGGGCAAACAGUGGCUAAUGGUACAGGUUUGAUCAACCUGUCAAGCCAGAACAAACAAUAUCAAAUAGAGCACUGAGAAAUGGUUCAGGUUUCCCAAAAAGAAUCUUUAGUUUGUUAGAUAAUAUUAUUGCAUAAUUGUUUCGUAGAGUAUCAUAUAUGGACUCUUGGUCCGAUAUGAUCUUCCUUGUGAAUGUAGGUACUUCAAAACAUGAGGAAACAAUAUCUCGUUUAGUCCUAGCCAUAAAAUUAAGAUUUGAUGGUUAUUUUGCAGCACUUGUCAAGGAUUAACAUGGAGGCUCGUAUGGUGCCUCCAAUUAAUAAAUAUAUGAUUUUGACAUGGGCUUCUUAUAUAUUUUGCUAUAAAAAUUGAUUGGAAUAAAUACGUCCGCCUAGUUCGCUAGGAUAGGCCUUUAGCAUGGUUUAUCAUCUCCAUUGUGUUGAAGAUUAGACGAUAAGUAUGAAGUAAAUGCAACUUGAUCCCAAGUCUUCAUAUUCCAAUCCCCAAAUUUACAACUUGCUUGUACUAUGCACAUCCUAUUAGUAACUUUUUUUGCUAGGCACACUUUUUAUAAUUUAUUAGGUGUUCCAUCACCUUCACAUUCAACUGCGGGUAUUCUGUUCUCGCAGAUGACUGGCUCUUUCAUAAAGAAUGUUUAAGGAAGUCUUAAUGACUGGGAAAGCCCUCCAGAUAGAAUGGUUGAAGUACUCUUGAACUGCACUGUAUGUAUUGCUUCUAGCUUUGGAUGAGCUUAAUAUCAUUUACGAGUAUUAAUCUAGUUCAUAUGGAAGUUUGUAUCCAAGCUAGUUGUGUACGUAUAUUAGGAGUCCAAGUGUUUGGCCGAGCUUAGCACUAGUCCGACUAGGAUAAGUAUGAUGGUUGAUCAUGUACACGUGGUUUUUUGAGUUUGGGUUCCAAGGUGUGUCCUAAUGCUAGUAGUAAUAGGAAGUACGAGGUACGAGUAGGAUUAGUUGGUCUAUAGGUUGGCCACAUUGUGUGUGUGUGUGUGUGUGUACAUACUAGCAAAAUAGAUUGUGCGUUGCAACGAGAGAGAAAAUAACACACACUCUUAACCUAGUAACCAUGAAUCAAGAUUCUAAUAGGUCCACGCCCUUUAUUUUCAAAUGGAAUCACAUUUUUGUUGCCGACGGUGGUCUCAGUGCUCAGAAAACAAAAUCGCGUUUGAAUGUGGUCAGUCCUAGGCCUCUCUCUCUCUCUCUCUCUCUCUCUCUCUCUCUCUCUCUCUCUCUCUCUCUCUCUCUCACGCGCGGGCACACGCACUCACUCGGAAUAGUAUGAGAAAUAUGUUGUUUUCAGCGGUGUGCAUGCAUGGUUAUCGAUGUUUUCUUUCCUCUCAAUCUGGUUUUAAUGGGUGUUUAUUUGAAAUUCGAAUCGCCGCCAGUACCAAAGAAAAAGGACCAUGCACAAUAAACUAAGUUUGCACCAAAAAUAAUAUUUAAGAAAUAUUUAACAGCUAAAAAUAACAUAAUGUUUAGAUUCUACACAUUUUUUAAUCAAAUUUCAUAUAUAACAUGUUAAAAUUAGAGUUACGGUUUAAAAAUAUGAAUAAUUUUGUCUUAGAUAAACUAUGGAUUGAUUAACCGAAAAGUCAGAGGGUUUUCUGUUAAAACAACAAAAAGAUCCAGCUGACUUAAAUAUGGAUGACGGGUUGAUUACCUGAAAUGUCAGGGUUUUAUUGAGAAAUUCAAAAACACGGUUUGGCUAUGACUUAAACGUGUACUGCGGGUUAAUUUACACAAAACACAGGGAUUUUUUUUAAAUGGCAUGACGUUGAGCAGUCACAAGCACUCUGUGCUUUAUUAUUAGGUGUAGAUAUAGACGCGAGGAUAUAUCAAGAUUGUACCGUGAAGAAAAGGAGAAAAGAAUAAAGAAGAGGAAGAAAGAGUACGACAAGGCCCCUUGGAUACAAGGUUUGUGUGUGUUUGUGUGUGCGUGUGNNNNNNNNNNNNNNNNNNNNNNNNNNNNNNNNNNNNNNNNNNNNNNNNNNNNNNNNNNNNNNNNNNNNNNNNNNNNNNNNNNNNNNNNNNNNNNNNNNNNNNNNNNNNNNNNNNNNNNNNNNNNNNNNNNNNNNNNNNNNNNNNNNNNNNNNNNNNNNNNNNNNNNNNNNNNNNNNNNNNNNNNNNNNNNNNNNNNNNNNNNNNNNNNNNNNNNNNNNNNNNNNNNNNNNNNNNNNNNNNNNNNNNNNNNNNNNNNNNNNNNNNNNNNNNNNNNNNNNNNNNNNNNNNNNNNNNNNNNNNNNNNNNNNNNNNNNNNNNNNNNNNNNNNNNNNNNNNNNNNNNNNNNNNNNNNNNNNNNNNNNNNNNNNNNNNNNNNNNNNNNNNNNNNNNNNNNNNNNNNNNNNNNNNNNNNNNNNNNNNNNNNNNNNNNNNNNNGUGUGUGUGUUCAUCAUGUUAUAGGUGGUGAAACACACUAAUGAGCAAGGUAAAACUCACAUCGAUCAAGGUCAGUGGCAUUUGUUCAAGUUUGUAAGGUGACUGUAGGACGCCUAGUUACGUCUGUGAACAAAAAGAGUCAGUACCGGCAAGGUCAGUGGCCAUAGUAGUAGCAGUUGUAGGAUCAACAUGUAGGAGUAUCAAGGUAGACACGAAGAAUGGAUAACUAUCCCAGUUGCACCUACAAACUGAUCCAGAAUUGUUUCCAAGUUUUUUGCAGCAAGUGGAGUAGCCUUGACAGCGACCAAGGUGGCAUUGACAUAUUAUGGUGUCGGUCAUAGGAGAUCUGGUUAUAGUGGUUGAGAAUAAAAUAUUCCGUUUGCCUUUGAUUAAUUAUGCGUUGUCUGUAAUUUGGUAUUCAUGAAAGUCACUAUCACGAUUAAUUGACCAUGUUCUAGAUCUCUACAUCAAAUUUAUUCCUGUUAACCUCAAUGUUAUAGCUACAUCGAGAUACUUAUUUUUCAUAUGCGAGUAAUUGGUUGAGCUCUCCCAGCAGGACGAAGCAGCAAAGGGAGCAAAAUGUAUACCAAACUGUGGAUGAAUGCCACAAUGGGGUAACUCGGAAAGUUUAACUCAUGCUCUAUGUCUUGCCCAAGGACAACAUACUCCGCGUGCAACUUUUUGUGUAUAUACCAGACGAUGCGCCAUAAACUAAUUUUUGUUACAAAUGGUAACAUAUUAGUAUCAAGAUGACACAAAUUUCCAUUACAAAUAUACAAUAAACCAUUGUAGACCUCAUCGGUGUGAAAAAUUAAUUGGACGAACUAAAGUUUUGCAAUGAGAUGCUGAUGGUAGGCAUCAACAUGGACUUGGAGCUCGACUUGGAGUUGUCGUACUACUAGUAACUUUCUAGAUCACAUGGAAAACUAUGAAUCCAAACAAGAUAACAGAUACAGUGAUGUAUUAUAUAUGAGCACAGAGAGAGAAAAAAAUAGAAACUUUAAACAUGGCUUCCAACGGGUUCUUCUGGUGUGUUAAGAGCCUUUAGAAGAUGAAACUGGGCUAGCUAUGGCCCUAGCCAUAAAGAACAUGGAAUUAGUGAUAUUACAACCGUGAAGGCUAACACGAAUAAGUUUCUAAGCGCCCCAACUGUGAUCAACACCACGAUCAAAAGUAUCCGCAACCGAAGAUGUAGUUAAAUCUAUCGAUGAUGCUGUCAAAUACCUCAUCUCGCUGAUUGGGAACCGGAGUCACCAUAUACGCCAACAUGAAAACCAGGUCAGCUAUGCAUAUAGAGAAUCUCACCCAGAUAGACUGAAAAAACCGUUGGUCAAUGAGGCUCUCUUUUCUCAGCUGUAUUAUCUCUUUGCGGUGCCUAUUUUAGCGAACUCUUUUUCCAGCUCAAUAAGGUUGUGUUUUCACAACUUUGCUGCAUGUACACCGUAUACUGUCCCCCGAACACCAAGCCUUCCAAUCCCAAGAACAAAAGGAAAGAGAUAGCAGCCCAAAAAUAGACCAAGUUAUCUUUCCAGCAUUGUCUUUCCUACCAGGAUUCGAAAUCCUUCUUGGCAAGACGAGCUGAAUUAUCUCCCAUAGUCCGAAACUCACAAGAACAUCAAAAAUCCGACGUGAAUGAAUUCAAUAAAGAACAGGUAUAGAUAAAAAAAAAUAAUCAAGUACGAAUAAAAUUGGUAGGGUCUCAGACAAUAUAUUCACAUAUGAGAACGUACAUGACACAUAUCACUGUGGACAUUGUCUAUGGCCUUAUUACAAGCAACAAGAGAAAUUACAUAGGCGUGUGAGUGCGCGUGCGCGCGCACACACACGUGCACACAUGCAUGACAUACAUGGAUUGACUAGAGGUCGCCCCAUAUAGUCAACAAUUUAUUGGAGGUAAACAUUAGCAUAACUUGGCCAUAGAUCGAAGCAAUCCAACAUAUGCCGAUGAAUGGCAUCCAUGUUGGUAGCAAUGCAAGCAUAUCGUUUUAGUACAGUCCUUCCAUCUUCGAAGCCACUCCCAUUUCAUCCAUCUUAGCAACCACUGUGAAAUCAAGAUAUCGAACUCCCAUUAGCGCAUGAGUUAAUUUUGCCAGGGCAGGAGAGUAUAAGAGGUCUUUGUGUAGGAAGUAACAUGCUUGAAGUUGUGAGAUGGGACAUGAAGUCAACGAAGUACAUUAAUGAAAAUCGGUGGAAGGUCACAGAUAUGUAUUAGUCCACCAUACGACACAGAUCUUGUAUUUACAAAUAUCAAAGGCAUUGAUUAAAGUGAGUUUAGUGCAUUUACCAGAAUCUUCAAGAAUACAGGGGAAACAACAAGUGUUCUUGCAGGCAAAGUCAGAGCCACCCGCAAAAAUACAAGUAGAACAACAUCCUUUUGCGGCUAAGCUUAUGCAGCAGCCGCAGUCUGCGGUGGUCGAGUUUACGGUGAGGCUCAGGAUGAGCAGGCACAUGAUCACCUUCAAAGUGGUAGUGCUAGUGAGCAUCCUCUUACCCUCCCAUUUCUCUUGUUGAUGUUGCCUGCCUUGGUUACCUAGCUAAGUUUCUUGGUUUUGUGUUGAGAGGUGCUUCUUAAAUGGAUGUUGCUUGCUGCAAUUUAUAGGCAAUUGCAUUACGUUAUGAUAUGUAUAAGGUGCGAGUGGGUGGAAAAUCAUGUCGUAUUCAAUGUGACAGUAUCGACAAUUGAUGACAUUGGUUGGUAACCCGGACAAAUUCAUUCACACGUAUCUUGCGGAGGAAAUGUUGCAUCACCUACCAUAUUCAAUAUUAGGGAGAAAGCCUGAACUACACCAAUAGUGUGCAACGAGGCACAAAAAGCUACCACAAGUAGUGGAGUUCGUAUGAUAUUAGCAAGCUAUAAACAAUAACCAUGGAGGCAAUUAACACUAGCCCGUCAAAGAUGGUGCUAGCAACUUAUGGUGUUCAAUGCAACACCAGAGCAAAUAUGUAUGGACUUUGGUUAGUAAAAUUUCAACAGGCGCUACAUAUAUAUUUUUCUAUACAAAAUUGAUUGGAAGCAAUAGAGUAGGCUAGUUCCUAGGUAGACCUUUAGCAAUGUUCAUUUUGGCCAUGGUGUCGGAGAUCAGAUUAUAAGUAUGACGUACAUGCAACUUGAUCCCUUGUCCUCAUAUUUUAAUUCCCGCAUUCACAAGUUGCACGUACUAAGCACUCCCAAUUAUUACCCUUUUCAUUAUGCAACUACUUUUAGAAUUUAUUUAUUUUUAAUAUACAAAUGUCAUUUAACAAACAAUCUAUUUUAUUCAGCUAGCGGAGGUCGGGCAAAACCGUUUUUUAUCCAAGUCUAGAAAACCUUGUAUAUUGUUCGGGCAUACAUUUUGCAUUUCUAAGAUAGAACCCCAAGAUAUUAGGCAUUGUGUCAGUUGUAUCAAACUUAUUUCUAUAUGACAUCAAAAUGUUAGAGAUAUUGAUAUGAUGCAAUGCACCGGGAUUAUCCUUAAAAACGAAAAACAAUUAAAAGGAGGAAAACUUGUGCAAAUAGUCCUUACGUGAUAUGGUCCUCAUCAAAAUUACCAAAUUUGGAAUAUGGUGCUUCGAAAAAAGAGUGUUCUCAAAAAGAGGUAUCAUGCCUGGCUUAUCUUGGCUUUCAACCCAAAUGGACAAGGCGAUGGCCAUAUCCAUGGCAAACAUUGUUUUUCGUUUUCCCAUAUUCAGCACACACAUGCAUCUUGGAACACAAAUCCAACCAACAACCAAUGAUCGUUUCAUUUCUUAGAGGUGCGGGCGAGGACAAUUAAAAACUUGUGAAACAGGUGUACCCGAGGCUUAAUUCACUAUUCGAGUAUACAGAUUGGGUCACUCUGUGUCGAAAUCACAACAAGAAAAUGUUUGGUUGAACAUCCUCUGUUAGAUAAGACUACAAGAUGAUGGUACUUUUGGGUCCUUCACAAAACAAGAAACUAACCAAGAGAUUAGGAUGACUGAUCUGUCCCAUGUAUGUCCUGCAAAUUAGUUGUUGAUAACGUUGCCAUUAUUUAGGAAAAGGCUCCUCACCUGAAUAUAUAUAUGCCACAAACCUUUAUUUAGGAAAAGGCUCCUCACCUGAAUAUAUUUCAAAUGUUUGACAGUUUUACAGGAUCACGCAUAUGCGCGCUCCUUGGGUGCCCCAGAUUUUAGCCUAUGUAUCCAUAUGUAAGGUAAGAUCAGUGCCAAUGUUUUCGAUGGUGUCAAGGGGAGGAUCAUCUACAAGUUAGAACAUCUUGUUCAUGGCACCCCAUAUUAUCCAUACUACAUGUAGAAGAAUUAAGCAUGGGAUAAAUAUAGCCAGAGGGCAUUGCGGUUGAGAAGAGAUCACCAAUUUGGAUGGAGAGUGCGUGCCAUAUCCUUCAAGCAGCAUGACAGGUGAAGAAGAGGUGAUGUCUAUCAUGGGCAGAUGGAGCUGGUGAGGAUUCUUUAUUUUUUGUAGAUUGCAUCUUGUGUUCACUCUGUCCAGGUAGAAGAGCCAGACGAAGAUCUGUAAUCUCUUUCAAGGUGCGGUCCUAUGGAUCCGAAAGCUGGGGUGAUAGGGCAGCAUAUGCCCCCUCUUGAUGAAAGCUGACCCAUUAAGCAACCCUCGCUCGUCAGGAUCCUACAACAGAGAGUUUAAUGAGCCAAGCUCUGGCGAGGCAGUUGAGGUUAGUCGGUUACGCAAGGAAAGUUCGACCUGCAUGAUGGCAUCUUUGGUGGGAUCGGUGAGAGAAAAUGGUAGGGAAAACAUUGGCUAAUGGUUCAGGGUUGAUCCACUUGUCAAGCCAAAACAAACAAUCUCAAACAGUGGCUAAUGGUUCAGGUCUCCCAAAAAGAAUCUUUAGUUUGUUAGAUAAUAUUAUUUGCAUGGUUGUUUCCUAGUGUAUCAUAUAUGGACUCUUGGGCCGAUAGGAUCUUCUUUGUAAACGUAUGUACUUCAAAACAUGAGGAAACCAUAUCUCGUUUAGUCCUAGCCGUAAAAUUAAGAUCUGAUGGUUAUUUAUCAGCACUUGUCAAGGAUUAACGUGGAGGCUCGUAUGGUGCCUCCAAUUAAUAAAUAUAUGAUUUUGACAUGGGCUUCUUAUAUAUUUCGCUAUAAAAAUUGAUUGGAACAAAUACGUACGCCUAGUUCGCUAGGAUAGGCCUUUAGCAAGGUUUAUCAUCUCCACUGUGUUGAAGAUUAGAUGAUAAGUAUGAACUAAAUGCAACUUGAUCCCAAGUCUUCAUAUUCCAAUCCCCAAAUUUACAACUUGCUCGUACUAUGCACAUCCUAUUAGUAACUUUUUUUGCUAGGAACACUUUUUAUAAUUUAUUUGUUUGUGAAUACACAAAUGUCAUUUUAACAGACUAUCUAUUUUUAUUCAGCUAGCAGAGGUUGGGCACAAUCAAUUUUUAUCCAAGACUAAAAAACCAUGUACAUUUUCGGGGGGCAUACAUCUUGUGUUUCUAAGAGACAACACUAAGAUAUUAUGCAUUGUGCCUCUUGUAUCAAACUUGUUUUUGUAUGUCAUAGAAAUAAUAGAGAUAGUGAUAUGAUUCACUGCACAUGGAUUAUCCUAAAAUAGAGAAACAAUUUAAAAACGGGAAACUUGCACAAAGAGUCCUUUUACGUGAUAUGGUUUCCAUAAAAAAUACCAAAAUUGAAAUAUGAUGCUUUGAAAAAAAAGGUGUUCUCGGAAAGAGGUAUCUUGUAUGCUUAUCUUGGCUUUCAACCCAAAAUACCAAGGCGAUAGUCAUAUCCAUGGGAAACAUGGUGGUAUUUUGCCCAUAUUCGGCACACAUGUGCAUCUUGGCAUGGCUUUACAAUGACACCUUAUUCACGUUGAUAAGAGCCUGUAUGCAAUAGCUACGGCUCUCCUAAAACAUUGUCGACCGAUGAAAUCUCUGGACCAAAAGUUGGGCAGAAAACGCCAGACCAGUGAAUGGGGUGCCAAAACAUGGAAAAGGGCGGGGAAUUGCCAAAAUUCUACCGUUGGUUGUAGCCUCACUGAAACCGACAUGUAAUUUGACCGUCGAAUAUUCAGACAACCUGGAACCCUAGCAUGCUACCAGGGCACCGACAUAAUGCAUGUAUUCUGUGCAUGCGAUACUGGCGCCCCCGCGACCAGAGGAAGGAAUAAACACCUAGACGGUACGCUAGUGCCUAAAUUUGGGCGGGAGAACACCAGAGUGGUGAGUUGGCCACCAAAAGAUGAAAAAGGGCUAGUCUUUGGCAGGUAUAAACAAGGGGGGAGGGGGGCUGGUAUUUCGGGUGCCAGAUCUUGUGAAGGUAAACAAGGAGAGAGACAUAAGAUGGAUACAAGCUGCUCCUCUGCCUUUGUUUGACUUGACUCAGCUGAAACAUAAUGUCGUUUCCAAAGAAACUUCAAUUACUGUUGAGAAGAGACAAAACCAAAUACUGCCAUUACACAAUAUAUAUCCGUCGUAAGAUAUUGAUUAAGCUAACCAAGCUGGACAUUGCCUACAGUACACCUAGAUAACUUAAUUUAUGCUAGCGACCGUGACGGCGAUCACCAAUUGAUUGUAUUUAGUGACUAAUAACCUGCCAUUGGUAUAUUUCAAAUUUUAUAUAUCAUUUGAUCCUCACCAUCGUCGGACAUGAUCGAGUCACAGAGAUAGGUACAAGUAGUUGUUCUGAGAAUAAGAAGAAAAAAUCGAUGCACUGACAAUCUCCAAUGUGUGUCCAUCUCAACCAUUUUAAAUUAAUUAGUACAAGUCCAAAUUAUCUGCUCUCCGGUAGAAACUAAAUUAGUCACGUUUGUUACGCUAGAGUUUGGUGCCAACGAACAAACCUAGCAAAUCAAUUGCACGUGGUCUCCUUAAACUACAAACAACGACAAUGAUGGAGGAGCCACUAAAUAGAAGGCCGGGCAGCGAUAGAAUGUACUUACUCAAUGGUUGCUAAUUUUUGUUGGUAAAUUGCGAGCGUUCUCCAGGGACGAACUCAAGAAGCAGUUUUUCUUGAUGAACGGACAAUAAGCUCCACCAUGCAAAAAUAUAAGGUUUCAGUUUGAGGAUCCAGCAAUAGUUCAUCAUGGAGCCUGAUGCACCAAGGUCAUAAUGCUGGUCUGGUGUGCAAAAUCCAAAGUAUGCAUCAGUUCUGCUCUCACACAUUGCGGAUCGUUCGAAUAUGCCAUCCAGAUCUUGUCUGUCCUGGAUAUACUUUUUGCUCGGAAUUAUAAAACUGUUCCUUUAUAAACUACUUACAGAAGCAUGAUUGUGGCUGUUGAACAUUUACUUUCCUUGAGUCGAAAAGACGCGCUAAUUUAGGGAAGCAGCAUGUGGGCACUGGAUAUCAUGUGCAUGCAUGUUCUUAACCCCCAAGCCACUCAGAUUAUUUGGCCCCAGAGCAAACCGCUUGGUUUGACCAGAAAAAAGACCUUCUACCCUUAUCCAUAGCAUAUGAAUGGAGAAGCAGAGCAUGAGCAGUGGGCAAACUAUCUAUCCUCUGAGAUGGACCAAGGAUAGAUAGUCGUUAGUGGCUCUAUAAAGAGGCCGGAUUCUGUCACACACAUAAGGGCUAAUUUGGCAGCAAGGUAAACGAAACCAGGGUAGCAAACCUUCGGGAGAUUAUACGCUAUUACUCACCUUCGGGAGAUUAUACGUUUCAAUCACUAUAUAUAUGACGUGCAAAAUGCAGCACACAUCCAUCACCAUCAGUUGAACUCGUGUCACACAAACUCCAUAGUCCAUACUUCUCUAGGUGUCAUCUCACUAUGCUGGAUACCUCUCCAAGUCUAUAUGUGAUGGACGGACGAACCAAGGCUCACUGGGCUUAAACACCUCCGGAAUGACAACCUCUACUACAACUCAACUCUGGAUUUUCGUACCUGUGCGUUUCACCAAACCAGUUGAUUAUAACCCCACUCUGCUCUUCUCUUCUCCAUGUAGAGUAGACCAGAGUAGGGACAACGAACACAUCAAUUACCAUCACAUACUAAAGUAUAUUCUAACAGCUGCUACAACUGAAUCAAUUAAUCAUGCCAAACACCCGUGCAUACCCACUCACUGCCAUUAUGUCCCGAAAUUGUCCAGCCUAGAACACACAAAUAAAAUAGAAUAGUCUCUAGUCUCCAUGCACUUUCACUGUUUGAUUGAUCACAAAAACUUACCUCAACAGUAAGAAAAUACACAAAUUUUGUUUUUCUCUGAUAUAUGAGAUCACAGAUUUUAGCCUUUUGGUGGUUCUAUUGACAUCAAUUGCAUGUACUAUAUUCACGGAUGCAAUUUUCUAACAAACCUUGCUAGCUAAUCUCCCUCGCACCUGCUCACAUCAAGAUUUAAACUGGAUGAGAUAAUGUAUAUGACUAUGUGUGACAUCAAGUUUAAGCGUUUAUGGUUCACGUUUUACAUCAAGUAUAUCGUAGUGUAGAGUAGCAAACUUAAUUCUCGAAAUCACCCAUACCAACGAAUGAAUGAAGAACCAAAGAGAUAAUUACAUCAGAGCUAGUCACUCCAUAGGCAAUAUCAGCAUAUUGUUAAUUGUUAAUGUGUAUAUCGAUCAAGUUUGUUUCUUUUCAAGUAAUCUAACACAUUCACCAAGGGAUUAAAUUGUAACUGAAUAGUACCAUUAGAAGUACAAAUAAGUUAACUAUUUGACAUUUGAUUUUCCACUAUUACUAAUUUUAUUUUUUAUUUUUUAUAUUCAAAUCUUCCGAGGUUUGUGUACAUUUUGUGUUGUUUAAGCCUGUCGGUCGACUGUAGAGUAGCCGCGCACCUCGUUCUUAUCCAUCUAAUCACAUGCACUAUGGUCUUCGCGUGGCAUUAAUUAAUUCCAUUGAUCAGUGAUAUAUUAUGUAGCUUGCUAGUUAAUAAUUAAUUAAUUAGCAGUUGAUGCAACUGCUCCAUUAUUAACAAUAAAAAGGCAUCCUCGUUUAGCUCGCAGGUCUUGUAUGAAUGCAUAAUCAUUUGCAUAAUAAUUAGGUAAGGCCGCUAGUUGGUGAGAAAUGCAUUGUACUUUCCUUGAGAUUAUCUGUCGACACCAAGCUGGUCAAUGGCGUGCAAUUUGAGAGCACUACCCUAUUCUCUGGGUUGUUAUAAAAAAAUUAAGGCAAAGGGACUGUGUACCCGUUGUAUCGAAUUGACAUGUACCUAGGAUAAAACUAAAUUAAUUUAUUCAUAAUCUAGUACAACAAAGGUGAAAUAAUUUAAAAAUCACUCCCUAAAAAAAGUAUAAGAAUGUGGCAAUCGCUCCCUAAAAACGGAAUGUAACAAUCACUCGUGGAAGGGGAAACGGCAAGACACCGCAAUGUCACUCGAACACUUUGACGUGUAGUACUGGGUAUGGGAAGAUUAUGUUGGGAUAAGAUAGUGGAUUGCCGGAGCCGGAGACCUCACCGGAGAGUUGGAAUUCCCCAUGUGGAUCCUGCUGUUGGCGAAAAAGCUGGUAAAGUGAAUGAGAGGAUGGUGGCGAACGGACACUGCACAUUCACCGGAUCUGGGCAAGGAAAGGGCACAAAUGAACAACACCUUCUUUUUCUAUUUUUUAAACGCCAAAAAGGUGCAGGUGUGUUAUGAAUCAAACUAGUGACCUCCUGCUUCAACGUAAGCUGCAGUAACCACUUACUUUUUUUCUUCAUAUUUUCUUCUUUCUACUUUUCUUUUUUCUUGUUUCUGGUUCGUUGAGGUUUUUUCCAAUUUUGUGAACUAUUUUUUUCAAAAUCAAUGAACUUUUUUCAAUUUGUAUACUUUUUUUCUGAAAUUGACAAAAAAUUGUAAUCAAUUGGUUUACUUUUUUUUUCCAAAUUUUGUGAUACUUAAGAAAAGUCAACUAGUCAGUCAGUGAACCGAUCAACUGGCACCAGUCAACCAGUGAGAGAUCUGAAGCGUAGGGAACACUCAACCCGGUUGCAUUUUGCUGCGCUGCAGCGAGAUGACAUUUUCAGCCGCAACCCAUGAAUGAAGGUAGUGAGCGCCAGGGAUUCUUUUCGCUGCUUGAAGCGCCGAAUAGGAGCUCCCAUGAGUUAGAUAGCUUUUGGAUGCAAAUUCAGUUUGCAGAUCAACGAGGCCACAAGCUUUCCGGUUGUUUUUUCCUUAAUCCAGUUCCAUCUAUGUAAAACUGCGAACGAUGGAUCAUCCAUCUCGAACGGAUCAACAUGGACAUGGUCAGCUCGAUCGUUACGCCAAAUGAAUACAAAUUAUGCACACACAAUCCGACGCGGCGAGUGAGAGCGACUUUGUUGAGAGGACCAAACUACCAUUAUUUUAUCUCAUUCUUCGUAUGAUAUUAAAACCGGCUAUUAGCUGUUUGUCUCUUGUAGACAUAUUUAAUCAGCUAUGUCAUACAAUACAAAUUAGGUGUUCCAUCACCUUCACAUUCAACUGCGGGUAUUCUGUUCUCGCAGAUGACUGGCUCUUUCAUAAAGAAUGUUUAAGGAAGUCUUAAUGACUGGGAAAGCCCUCCAGAUAGAAUGGUUGAAGUACUCUUGAACUGCACUGUAUGUAUUGCUUCUAGCUUUGGAUGAGCUUAAUCUCAUUUACGAGUAUUAAUCUACUUCAUAUGCAAGUUUGUAUCCAAGCUAGUUGUGUACGUAUAUUAGGAGUCCAAGUGUUUGGCCGAGCUUAGCACUAGUCCGACUAGGAUAAGUAUGAUGGUUGAUCAUGUACACGUGGUUUUUUGAGUUUGGGUUCCAAGGUGUGUCCUAAUGCUAGUAGUAAUAGGAAGUACGAGGUACGAGUAGGAUUAGUUGGUCUAUAGGUUGGCCACAUUGUGUGUGUGUGUGUGUGUGUGUGUGUGUGCGUGUGUGUGUGUGUGUACAUACUAGCAAAAUAGAUUGUGCGUUGCAACGAGAGAGAAAAUAACACACACUCUUAACCUAGUAACCAUGAAUCAAGAUUCUAAUAGGUCCACGCCCUUUAUUUUCAAAUGGAAUCACAUUUUUGUUGCCGACGGUGGUCUCAGUGCUCAGAAAACGAAAUCGCGUUUGAAUGUGGUCAGUCCUAGGCCUCUCUCUCCCUCUCUCUCUCUCUCUCUCUCUCUCUCUCUCUCUCUCUCUCUCACGCGCGGGCACGCGCACUCACUCGGAAUAAUAUGAGAAAUAUGUUGUUUUCAGCGGUGUGCAUGCAUGGUUAUCGAUGUUUUCUUUCCUCUCAAUCUGGUUUUAAUGGGUGUUUAUUUGAAAUUCGAAUCGCCGCCAGUACCAAAGAAAAAGGACCAUGCACAAUAAACUAAGUUUGCACCAAAAAUAAUAUUUAAGAAAUAUUUAACAGCUAAAAAUUACAUAAUGUUUAGAUUCUACACAUUUUUUAAUCAAAUUUCAUAUAUAACAUGUUAAAAUUAGAGUUACGGUUUAAAAAAUAUGAAUAAUUUUGUCUUAGAUAAACUAUGGAUUGAUUAACCGAAAAGUCAGGGGUUUUCUGUUAAAACAAAAAAAAGAUCCAGCUGACUUAAAUAUGGAUGACGGGUUGAUUACCUGAAAUGUCAGGGUUUUAUUGAGAAAUUCAAAAACACGGUUUGGCUAUGACUUAAACGUGUACUGCGGGUUAAUUUACACAAAACACAGGGAUUUUUUUUAAAUGGCAUGACGUUGAGCAGUCACAAGCACUCUGUGCUUUAUUAUUAGGUGUAGAUAUAGACGCGAGGAUAUAUCAAGAUUGUACCGUGAAGAAAAGGAGAAAAGAAUAAAGAAGAGGAAGAAAGAGUACGACAAGGCCCCUUGGAUACAAGGUUUGUGUGUGUUUGUGUGUGCGUGUGCGUGUGUGUGUGUGUAUGUGUGUGUGUGUGUGUGUGUGUGUGUGUGUGUGUGUGUGUGUUCAUCAUGUUAUAGGUGGUGAAACACACUAAUGAGCAAGGUAAAACUCACAUCGAUCAAGGUCAGUGGCAUUUGUUCAAGUUUGUAAGGUGACUGUAGGACGCCUAGUUACGUCUGUGAACAAAAAGAGUCAGUACCGGCAAGGUCAGUGGCCAUAGUAGUAGCAGUUGUAGGAUCAACAUUUAGGAGUAUCAAGGUAGACACGAAGAAUGGAUAACUAUCCCAGUUGCACCUACAAACUGAUCCAGAAUUGUUUCCAAGUUUUUUGCAGCAAGUGGAGUAGCCUUGACAGCGACCAAGGUGGCAUUGACAUAUUAUGGUGUCGGUCAUAGGAGAUCUGGUUAUAGUGGUUGAGAAUAAAAUGUUCCGUUUGCCUUUGAUUAAUUAUGCGUUGUCUGUAAUUUGGUAUUCAUGAAAGUCACUAUCACGAUUAAUUGACCAUGUUCUAGAUCUCUACAUCAAAUUUAUUCCUGUUAACCUCAAUGUUAUAGCUACAUCGAGAUACUUAUUUUUCAUAUGCGAGUAAUUGGUUGAGCUCUCCCAGCAGGACGAAGCAGCAAAGGGAGCAAACUGUAUACCAAACUGUGGAUGAAUGCCACAAUGGGGUAACUCGGAAAGUUUAACUCAUGCUCUAUGUCUUGCCCAAGGACAACAUACUCCGCGUGCAACUUUUUGUGUAUAUACCAGACGAUGCACCAUAAAGUAAUUUUUUUUACAAAUGGUAACAUAUUAGUAUCAAGAUGAUACAAAUUGCCAUUACAAAUAUACAAUAAACCAUUGUAGACCUCAUCGGUGUGAAAAAUUAAUUGGACGAACUAAAGUUUUGCAAUGAGAUGCUGAUGGUAGGCAUAAACAUGGACUUGGAGCUCGACUUGGAGUUGUCGUACUACUAGUAACUUUCUAGAUUGCAUGGAAAACUAUGAAUCCAAACAAGAUAACAGAUACAGUGAUGUAUUAUAUAUGAGCACACAGAGAAGAAAAAUAGAAACUUUAAACAUGGCUUCCAACGGGUUCUUCUGGUGUGUUAAGAGCCUUUAGAAGAUGAAACUGGGCUAGCUAUGGCCCUAGCCGUAAAGAACAUGGAAUUAGUGAUAUUACAACCGUGAAGGCUAACACGAAUAAGUUUCUAAGCGCCCCAACUGUGAUCAACACCACGAUCAAAAGUAUCCGCAACCGAAGAUGUAGUUAAAUCUAUUGAUGAUGCUGUCAAAUACCUCAUCUCGCUGAUUGGGAACCGGAGUCACCAUAUACGCCAACAUGAAAACCAGGUCAGCUAUGCAUAUAGAGAAUCUCACCCAGAUAGACUGAAAAAACCGUUGGUCAAUGACGCUCUCUUUUCUCAGCUGUAUUAUCUCUUUGCGGUGCCUAUUUUAGCGAACUCUUUUUCCAGCUCAAUAAGGUUGUGUUUUCACAAUUUUGCUGCAUGUACACUGUAUACUGUCCCCCGAACACCAAGCCUUCCAAUCCCAAGAACAAAAGGAAAGAGAUAGCAGCCCAAAAAUAGACCAAGUUAUCUUUCCAGCAUUGUCUUUCCUACCAGGAUUCGAAAUCCUUCUUGGCAAGACGAGCUGAAUUAUCUCCCAUAGUCCGAAACUCACAAGAACAUCAAAAAUCCGACGUGAAUGAAUUCAAUAAAGAACAGGUAUAGAUAAAAAAUAAUAAUCAAGUACGCAUAAAAUUGGUAGGUUCUCAGACAAUAUAUUGACAUAUGAGAACGUACAUGACACAUAUCACUGUGGACAUUGUCUAUGGCCUUAUUACAAGCAACAAGAGAAAUUACAUAGGCGUGUGAGUGCGCGUGCGCGCGCACACACACGUGCACACAUGCAUGACAUACAUGGAUUGACUAGAGGUCGCCCCAUAUAGUCAACAAUUUAUUGGAGGUAAACAUUAGCAUAACUUGGCCAUAGAUCGAAGCAAUCCAACAUAUGCCGAUGAAUGGCAUCCAUGUUGGUAGCAAUGCAAGCAUAUCGUUUUAGUACAGUCCUUCCAUCUUCGAAGCCACUCCCAUUUCAUCCAUCUUAGCAACCACUGUGAAAUUAAGAUAUAAAACUCCCAUUAGCUCAUGAGUUAAUUUUGCUAGGGCAGGAGAGUAUAAGAGGUCUUUGUGUAGGAAGUAACAUGCUUGAAGUUGUGAGAUGGGACAUGAAGUCAACGAAGUACAUUAAUGAAAAUCGGUGGAAGGUCACAGAGAUGUAUUAGUCCACCAUACGACACAGAUCUUGUAUUUACAAAUAUCAAAGGCAUUGAUUAAAGUGAGUUUAGUGCAUUUACCAGAAUCUUCAAGAAUACAGGGAAACAACAAGUGUUCUUGCAGGCAAAGUCAGAGCCACCCGCAAAAAUACAAGUAGAACAACAUCCUUUUGCGGCUAAGCUUAUGCAGCAGCCACAGUCUGCGGUGGUCGAGUUUACGGUGAGGCUCAGGAUGAGCAGGCACAUGAUCACCUUCAAAGUGGUAGUGCUAGUGACCAUCCUCUUACCCUCCAUUUUCUCUUGUUGAUGUUGCCUGCCUUGGUUACCUAGAUAAGUUUCUUGGUUUUGUGUUGAGAGGUGCUUCUUAAAUGGAUGUUGCUUGCUGCAAUUUAUAGGCAAUUGCAUUACGUUAUGAUAUGUAUAAGGUGCGAGUGGGUGGAAAAUCAUGUCGUAUUCAAUGUGACAGUAUCGACAAUUGAUGACAUUGGUUGGUAACCCGGACAAAUUCAUUCACACGUAUCUUGCGGAGGAAAUGUUGCAUCACCUACCAUAUUCAAUAUUAGGGAGAAAGCCUGAACUACACCAAUAGUGUGCAACUAGGCACAAAAAGCUACCACAAGUAGUGGAGUUCGUAUGAUAUUAGCAAGCUAUUAACAAUAACCAUGGAGGCAAUUAACACUAGCCCGUCAAAGAUGGUGCUAGCAACUUAUGGUGUUCAAUGCAACACCAGAGCAAAUAUGUAUGGACUUUGGUUAGUAAAAUUUCAACAGGCGCUACAUAUAUAUUUUGCUAUACAAAAUUGAUUGGAAGCAAUAGAGUAGGCUAGUUCCUAGGUAGACCUUUAGCAAUGUUCAUUUUGGCCAUGGUAUCGGAGAUCAGAUUAUAAGUAUGACGUACAUGCAACUUGAUCCCUUGUCCUCAUAUUUUAAUUCCCGCAUUCACAAGUUGCACGUACUAAGCACUCCCAAUUAUUACCCUUUUCAUUAUGCAACUAUUUUUAGAAUUUAUUUAUUUUUAAUAUACAAAUGUCAUUUAACAAACAAUCUAUUUUAUUCAGCUAGCGGAGGUCGGGCAAAACCGUUUUUUAUCCAAGUCUAGAAAACCUUGUAUAUUGUUCGGGCAUACAUUUUGCAUUUCUAAGAUAGAACCCCAAGAUAUUAGGCAUUGUGUCAGUUGUAUCAAACUUAUUUCUAUAUGACAUCAAAAUGUUAGAGAUAUUGAUAUGAUGCAAUGCACCGGGAUUAUCCUUAAAAACGAAAAACAAUUAAAAGGAGGAAAACUUGUGCAAAUAGUCCUUACGUGAUAUGGUCCUCAUCAAAAUUACCAAAUUUGGAAUAUGGUGCUUCGAAAAAAGAGUGUUCUCAAAAAGAGGUAUCAUGCCUGGCUUAUCUUGGCUUUCAACCCAAAUGGCCAAGCGAUGGCCAUAUCCAUGGCAAACAUUGUUUUUCGUUUUCCCAUAUUCGGCACACACAUGCAUCUUGGAACACAAAUCCAACCAACAACCAAUGAUCGUUUCAUUUCUUAGAGGUGCGGGCGAGGACAAUUAAAAACUUGUGAAACAGGUGUACCCGAGGCUUAAUUCACUAUUCGAGUAUACAGAUUGGGUCACUCUGUGUCGAAAUCACAACAAGAAAAUGUUUUGUUGAACAUCCUCUGUUAGAUAAGACUACAAGAUGAUGGUACUUUUGGGUCCUUCACAAAACAAGAAACUAACCAAGAGAUUAGGAUGACUGAUCUGUCCCAUGUAUGUCCUGCAAAUCAGUUGUUGAUAACGUUGCCAUUAUUUAGGAAAAGUCUCCUCACCUGAAUAUAUAUAUGCCACAAACCUUUAUUUAGGAAAAGGCUCCUCACCUCAAUAUAUUUCAAAUGUUUGACAAUUUUACAGGAUCAUGCAUAUGCGCGCUCCUUGGGUGCCCCAGAUUUUAGCCUAUGUAUCCAUAUGUAAGGUAAGAUCAGUGCCAAUGUUUUCGAUGGUGUCAAGGGGAGGAUCAUCUACAACUUAGAACAUCUUGUUCAUGGCACCCCAUAUUAUCCAUACUACAUGUAGAAGAAUUAAGCAUGGGAUAAAUAUAGCCAGAGGGCAUUGCGGUUGAGAAGAGAUCACCAAUUUGGAUGGAGAGUGCGUGCCAUAUCCUUCAAGCAGCAUGACAGGUGAAGAAGAGGUGAUGUCUAUCAUGGGCAGAUGGAGCUGGUGAGGAUUCUUUAUAUUUUGUAGAUUGCAUCUUGUGUUCACUCUGUCCAGGUAGAAGAGCCAGGCGAAGAUCUGUAUUCUCUUUCAAGGUGCGGUCCUAUGGAUCCGAAAGCUGGGGUGAUAGGGCAGCAUAUGCCCCCUCUUGAUGAAAGCUGACCCAUUAAGCAACCCUCGCUCGUCAGGAUCCUACAACAGAGAGUUUAACGAGCCAAGCUCUGGCGAGGCAGUUGAGGUUAGUCGGUUACGCAAGGAAAGUUCGACCUGCAUGAUGGCAUCUUUGGUGGGAUCGGUGAGAGAAAAUGGUAGGGAAAACAUUGGCUAAUGGUUCAGGGUUGAUCCACCUGUCAAGCCAAAACAAACAAUCUCAAACAGUGGCUAAUGGUUCAGGUCUCCCAAAAAGAAUCUUUAGUUUGUUAGAUAAUAUUAUUUGCAUGGUUGUUUCCUAGUGUAUCAUAUAUGGACUCUUGGGCCGAUAGGAUCUUCUUUGUAAACGUAUGUACUUCAAAACAUGAGGAAACCAUAUCUCGUUUAGUCCUAGCCGUAAAAUUAAGAUCUGAUGGUUAUUUAUCAGCACUUGUCAAGGAUUAACGUGGAGGCUCGUAUGGUGCCUCCAAUUAAUAAAUAUAUGAUUUUGAGAUGGGCUUCUUAUAUAUUUCGCUAUAAAAAUUGAUUGGAACAAAUACGUACGCCUAGUUUGCUAGGAUAGGCCUUUAGCAAGGUUUAUCAUCUCCACUGUGUUGAAGAUUAGAUGAUAAGUAUGAACUAAAUGCAACUUGAUCCCAAGUCUUCAUAUUCCAAUCCCCAAAUUUACAACUUGCUCGUACUAUGCACAUCCUAUUAGUAACUUUUUUUGCUAGGAACACUUUUUAUAAUUUAUUUGUUUGUGAAUACACAAAUGUCAUUUUAACAGACUAUCUAUUUUUAUUCAGCUAGCAGAGGUUGGGCACAAUCAAUUUUUAUCCAAGACUAAAAAACCAUGUACAUUUUCGGGGGGCAUACAUCUUGUGUUUCUAAGAGACAACACUAAGAUAUUAUGCAUUGUGCCUCUUGUAUCAAACUUGUUUUUGUAUGUCAUAGAAAUAAUAGAGAUAGUGAUAUGAUUCACUGCACAUGGAUUAUCCUAAAAUAGAGAAACAAUUUAAAAACGGGAAACUUGCACAAAGAGUCCUUUUACGUGAUAUGGUUUCCAUAAAAAAUACCAAAAUUGAAAUAUGACGCUUUGAAAAAAAAGUGUUCUCGGAAAGAGGUAUCAUGUAUGCUUAUCUUGGCUUUCAACCCAAAAUACCAAGGCGAUAGUCAUAUCCAUGGGAAACAUGGUGGUAUUUUGCCCAUAUUCGGCACACAUGUGCAUCUUGGCAUGGCUUUACAAUGACACCUUAUUCACGUUGAUAAGAGCCUGUAUGCAAUAGCUACGACUCUCCUAAAACAUUGUCGACCGAUGAAAUCUCUGGACCAAAAGUUGGGCAGAAAACGCCAGACCAGUGAAUGGGGUGCCAAAACAUGGAAAAGGGCGGGGAAUUGCCAAAAUUCUACCGUUGGUUGUAGCCUCACUGAAACCGACAUGUAAUUUGACCGUCGAAUAUUCAGACAACCUGGAACCCUAGCAUGCUACCAGGGCACCGACAUAAUGCAUGUAUUCUGUGCAUGCGGUACUGGCGCCCCCGCGACCAGAGGAAGGAAUAAACACCUAGACGGUACGCUAGUGCCUAAAUUUGGGCGGGAGAACACCAGAGUGGUGAGUUGGCCACCAAAAGAUGAAAAAGGGCUAGUCUUUGGCAGGUAUAAACAAGGGGGGAGGGGGGCUGGUAUUUCGGGUGCCAGAUCUUGUGAAGGUAAACAAGGAGAGAGACAUAAGAUGGAUACAAGCUGCUCCUCUGCCUUUGUUUGACUUGACUCAGCUGAAACAUAAUGUCGUUUCCAAAGAAACUUCAAUUACUGUUGAGAAGAGACAAAACCAAAUACUGCCAUUACACAAUAUAUAUCCGUCGUAAGAUAUUGAUUAAGCUAACCAAGCUGGACAUUGCCUACAGUACACCUAGAUAACUUAAUUUAUGCUAGCGACCGUGACGGCGAUCACCAAUUGAUUGUAUUUAGUGACUAAUAACCUGCCAUUGGUAUAUUUCAAAUUUUAUAUAUCAUUUGAUCCUCACCAUCGUCGGACAUGAUCGAGUCACAUAGAUAGGUACAAGUAGCUGUUCUGAGAAUAAGAAGAAAAAAUCGAUGCACUGACAAUCUCCAAUGUGUGUCCAUCUCAACCAUUUUAAAUUAAUUAGUACAAGUCCAAAUUAUCUGCUCUCCGGUAGAAACUAAAUUAGUCACGUUUGUUACGCUAGAGUUUGGUGCCAACGAACAAACCUAGCAAAUCAAUUGCACGUGGUCUCCUUAAACUACAAACAACGACAAUGAUGGAGGAGCCACUAAAUAGAAGGCCGGGCAGCGAUAGAAUGUACUUACUCAAUGGUUGCUAAUUUUUGUUGGUAAAUUGCGAGCGUUCUCCAGGGACGAACUCAAGAAGCAGUUUUUCUUGAUGAACGGACAAUAAGCUCCACCAUGCAAAAAUAUAAGGUUUCAGUUUGAGGAUCCAACAAUAGUUCAUCAUGGAGCCUGAUGCACCAAGGUCAUAAUGCUGGUCUGGUGUGCAAAAUCCAAAGUAUGCAUCAGUUCUGCUCUCACACAUUGCGGAUCGUUCGAAUAUGCCAUCCAGAUCUUGUCUGUCCUGGAUAUACUUUUUGCUCGGAAUUAUAAAACUGUUCCUUUAUAAACUACUUACAGAAGCAUGAUUGUGGCUGUUGAACAUUUACUUUCCUUGAGUCGAAAAGACGCGCUAAUUUAGGGAAGCAGCAUGUGGGCACUGGAUAUCAUGUGCAUGCAUGUUCUUAACCCCCAAGCCACAUAGAUUAUUUGGCCCCAGAGCAAACCGCUUGGUUUGACCAGAAAAAAGACCUUCUACCCUUAUCCAUAGCAUAUGAAUGGAGAAGCAGAGCAUGAGCAGUGGGCAAACUAUCUAUCCUCUGAGAUGGACCAAGGAUAGAUAGUCGUUAGUGGCUCUAUAAAGAGGCCGGAUUCUGUCACACACAUAAGGGCUAAUUUUGCAGCAAGGUAAACGAAACCAGGGUAGCAAACCUUCGGGAGAUUAUACGCUAUUACUCACCUUCGGGAGAUUAUACGUUUCAAUCACUAUAUAUAUGACGUGCAAAAUGCAGCACACAUCCAUCACCAUCAGUUGAACCCGUGUCACACAAACUCCAAAGUCCAUACUUCUCUAGGUGUCAUCUCACUAUGCUGGAUACCUCUCCAAGUCUAUAUGUGAUGGACGGACGGACCAAGGCUCACUGGGCUUAAACACCUCCGGAAUGACAACCUCUACUACAACUCAACUCUGGAUUUUCGUACCUGUGCGUUUCACCAAACCAGUUGAUUAUCACCCCACUCUGCUCUUCUCUUCUCCAUGUAGAGUAGACCAGAGUAGGGACAACGAACACAUCAAUUACCAUCACAUACUAAAGUAUAUUCUAACAGCUGCUACAACUGAAUCAAUUAAUCAUGCCAAACACCCGUGCAUACCCACUCACUGCCAUUAUGUCCCGAAAUUGUCCAGCCUAGAACACACAAAUAAAAUAGAAUAGUCUCUAGUCUCCAUGCACUUUCACUGUUUGAUUGAUCACAAAAACUUACCUCAACAGUAAGAAAAUACACAAAUUUUGUUUUUCUCUGAUAUAUGAGAUCACAGAUUUUAGCCUUUUGGUGGUUCUAUUGACAUCAAUUGCAUGUACUAUAUUCACGGAUGCAAUUUUCUAACAAACCUUGCUAGCUAAUCUCCCUCGCACCUGCUCACAUCAAGAUUUAAACUGGAUGAGAUAAUGUAUAUGACUAUGUCUGACAUCAAGUUUAAGCGUUUAUGGUUCACGUUUUACAUCAAGUAUAUCGUAGUGUAGAGUAGCAAACUUAAUUCUCGAAAUCACCCAUACCAACGAAUGAAUGAAGAACCAAAGAGAUAAUUACAUCAGAGCUAGUCACUCCAUAGGCAAUAUCAGCAUAUUGUUAAUUGUUAAUGUGUAUAUCGAUCAAGUUUGUUUCUUUUCAAGUAAUCUAACACAUUCACCAAGGGAUUAAAUUGUAACUGAAUAGUACCAUUAGAAGUACAAAUAAGUUAACUAUUUGACAUUUGAUUUUCCACUAUUACUAAUUUUAUUUUUUAUUUUUUAUAUUCAAAUCUUCCGAGGUUUGUGUACAUUUUGUGUUGUUUAAGCCUGUCGGUCGACUGUAGAGUAGCCGCGCACCUCAUUCUUAUCCAUCUAAUCACAUGCACUAUGGUCUUCGCGUGGCAUUAAUUAAUUCCAUUGAUCAGUGAUAUAUUAUGUAGCUUGCUAGUUAAUAAUUAAUUAAUUAGCAGUUGAUGCAACUGCUCCAUUAUUAACAAUAAAAAGGCAUCCUCGUUUAGCUCGCAGGUCUUGUAUGAAUGCAUAAUCAUUUGCAUAAUAAUUAGGUAAGGCCGCUAGUUGGUGAGAAAUGCAUUGUACUUUCCUUGAGAUUAUCUGUCGACACCAAGCUGGUCAAUGGCGUGCAAUUUGAGAGCACUACCCUAUUCUCUGGGUUGUUAUAAAAAAAUUAAGGCAAAGGGACUCUGUACCCGUUGUAUCGAAUUGACAUGUACCUAGGAUAAAACUAAAUUAAUUGAUUCAUAAUCUAGUACAACAAAGGUGAAAUAAUUUAAAAAUCACUCCCUAAAAAAAGUAUAAGAAUGUGGCAAUCGCUCCCUAAAAACGGAAUGUAACAAUCACUCGUGGAAGGGGAAACGGCAAGACACCGCAAUGUCACUCGAACACUUUGACGUGUAGUACUGGGUAUGGGGAGAUUAUGUUGGGAUAAGAUAGUGGAUUGCCGGAGCCGGAGACCUCACCGGAGAGUUGGAAUUCCCCAUGUGGAUUCUGCUGUUGGCGAAAAAGCUGGUAAAGUGAAUGAGAGGACGGUGGCGAACGGACACUGCACAUUCACCGGAUCUGGGCAAGGAAAGGGCACAAAUGAACAACACCUUCUUUUUCUGUUUUUUAAACGCCAAAAAGGUGCAGGUGUGUUAUGAAUCAAACUAGUGACCUCCUGCUUCAACGUAAGCUGCAGUAACCACUUACUUUUUUUCUUCAUAUUUUCUUCUUUCUACUUUUCUUUUUUCUUGUUUCUGGUUCGUUGAGGUUUUUUCCAAUUUUGUGAACUAUUUUUUUCAAAAUCAAUGAACUUUUUUCAAUUUGUAUACUUUUUUUUUUCUGAAAUUGACAAAAAAUUGUAAUCAAUUGGUUUACUUUUUUUUCCAAAUUUUGUGAUACUUAAGAAAAGUCAACUAGUCAGUCAGUGAACCGAUCAACUGGCACCAGUCAACCAGUGAGAGAUCUGAAGCGUAGGGAACACUCAACCCGGUUGCAUUUUGCUGCGCUGCAGCGAGAUGACAUUUUCAGCCGCAACCCAUGAAUGAAGGUAGUGAGCGCCAGGGAUUCUUUUCGCUGCUUGAAGCGCCGAAUAGGAGCUCCCAUGAGUUAGAUAGCUUUUGGGUGCAAAUUCAGUUUGCAGAUCAACGAGGCCACAAGCUUUCCGGUUGUUUUUUCCUUAAUCCAGUUCCAUCUAUGUAAAACUGCGAACGACGGAUCAUCCAUCUUGAACGGAUCAACAUGCACAUGGUCAGCUCGAUCGUUACGCCAAAUGAAUACAAAUUAUGCACACACAAUCCGACGCGGCGAGUGAGAGCGACUUUGUUGAGAGGACCAAACUACCAUUAUUUUAUCUCAUUCUUCGUAUGAUAUUAAAACCGGCUAUUAGCUGUUUGUCUCUUGUAGACAUAUUUAAUCAGCUAUGUCAUACAAUACAAAUUAGGUGUUCCAUCACCUUCACAUUCAACUGCGGGUAUUCUGUUCUCGCAGAUGACUGGCUCUUUCAUAAAGAAUGUUUAAGGAAGUCUUAAUGACUGGGAAAGCCCUCCAGAUAGAAUGGUUGAAGUACUCUUGAACUGCACUGUAUGUAUUGCUUCUAGCUUUGGAUGAGCUUAAUAUCAUUUACGAGUAUUAAUCUAGUUCAUAUGGAAGUUUGUAUCCAAGCUAGUUGUGUACGUAUAUUAGGAGUCCAAGUGUUUGGCCGAGCUUAGCACUAGUCCGACUAGGAUAAGUAUGAUGGUUGAUCAUGUACACGUGGUUUUUUGAGUUUGGGUUCCAAGGUGUGUCCUAAUGCUAGUAGUAAUAGGAAGUACGAGGUACGAGUAGGAUUAGUUGGUCUAUAGGUUGGCCACAUUGUGUGUGUGUGUGUGUGUACAUACUAGCAAAAUAGAUUGUGCGUUGCAACGAGAGAGAAAAUAACACACACUCUUAACCUAGUAACCAUGAAUCAAGAUUCUAAUAGGUCCACGCCCUUUAUUUUCAAAUGGAAUCACAUUUUUGUUGCCGACGGUGGUCUCAGUGCUCAGAAAACGAAAUCGCGUUUGAAUGUGGUCAGUCCUAGGCCUCUCUCUCUCUCUCUCUCUCUCUCUCUCUCUCUCUCUCUCUCUCUCUCUCUCUCUCUCUCUCUCUCUCUCACGCGCGGGCACGCGCACUCACUCGGAAUAAUAUGAGAAAUAUGUUGUUUUCAGCGGUGUGCAUGCAUGGUUAUCGAUGUUUUCUUUCCUCUCAAUCUGGUUUUAAUGGGUGUUUAUUUGAAAUUCGAAUCGCCGCCAGUACCAAAGAAAAAGGACCAUGCACAAUAAACUAAGUUUGCACCAAAAAUAAUAUUUAAGAAAUAUUUAACAGCUAAAAAUAACAUAAUGUUUAGAUUCUACACAUUUUUUAAUCAAAUUUCAUAUAUAACAUGUUAAAAUUAGAGUUACGGUUUAAAAAUAUGAAUAAUUUUGUCUUAGAUAAACUAUGGAUUGAUUAACCGAAAAGUCAGGGGUUUUCUGUUAAAACAACAAAAAGAUCCAGCUGACUUAAAUAUGGAUGACGGGUUGAUUACCUGAAAUGUCAGGGUUUUAUUGAGAAAUUCAAAAACACGGUUUGGCUAUGACUUAAACGUGUACUGCGGGUUAAUUUACACAAAACACAGGGAUUUUUUUUAAAUGGCAUGACGUUGAGCAGUCACAAGCACUCUGUGCUUUAUUAUUAGGUGUAGAUAUAGACGCGAGGAUAUAUCAAGAUUGUACCGUGAAGAAAAGGAGAAAAGAAUAAAGAAGAGGAAGAAAGAGUACGACAAGGCCCCUUGGAUACAAGGUUUGUGUGUGUUUGUGUGUGCGUGUGUGUGUGCGCGCGCGCGCGCGCGCGCGCGCGCGUGUGUGUGUGUGUGUGUGUGUGUGUGUGUUCAUCAUGUUAUAGGUGGUGAAACACACUAAUGAGCAAGGUAAAACUCACAUCGAUCAAGGUCAGUGGCAUUUGUUCAAGUUUGUAAGGUGACUGUAGGACGCCUAGUUACGUCUGUGAACAAAAAGAGUCAGUACCGGCAAGGUCAGUGGCCAUAGUAGUAGCAGUUGUAGGAUCAACAUUUAGGAGUAUCAAGGUAGACACGAAGAAUGGAUAACUAUCCCAGUUGCACCUACAAACUGAUCCAGAAUUGUUUCCAAGUUUUUUGCAGCAAGUGGAGUAGCCUUGACAGCGACCAAGGUGGCAUUGACAUAUUAUGGUGUCGGUCAUAGGAGAUCUGGUUAUAGUGGUUGAGAAUAAAAUGUUCCGUUUGCCUUUGAUUAAUUAUGCGUUGUCUGUAAUUUGGUAUUCAUGAAAGUCACUAUCACGAUUAAUUGACCAUGUUCUAGAUCUCUACAUCAAAUUUAUUCCUGUUAUCCUCAAUGUUAUAGCUACAUCGAGAUACUUAUUUUUCAUAUGCGAGUAAUUGGUUGAGCUCUCCCAGCAGGACGAAGCAGCAAAGGGAGCAAAAUGUAUACCAAACUGUGGAUGAAUGCCACAAUGGGGUAACUCGGAAAGUUUAACUCAUGCUCUAUGUCUUGCCCAAGGACAACAUACUCCGCGUGCAACUUUUUGUGUAUAUACCAGACGAUGCGCCAUAAACUAAUUUUUGUUACAAAUGGUAACAUAUUAGUAUCAAGAUGACACAAAUUUCCAUUACAAAUAUACAAUAAACCAUUGUAGACCUCAUCGGUGUGAAAAAUUAAUUGGACGAACUAAAGUUUUGCAAUGAGAUGCUGAUGGUAGGCAUCAACAUGGACUUGGAGCUCGACUUGGAGUUGUCGUACUACUAGUAACUUUCUAGAUCGCAUGGAAAACUAUGAAUCCAAACAAGAUAACAGAUACAAUGAUGUAUUAUAUAUGAGCACAGAGAGAGAAAAAAAUAGAAACUUUAAACAUGGCUUCCAACGGGUUCUUCUGGUGUGUUAAGAGCCUUUAGAAGAUGAAACUGGGCUAGCUAUGGCCCUAGCCAUAAAGAACAUGGAAUUAGUGAUAUUACAACCGUGAAGGCUAACACGAAUAAGUUUCUAAGCGCCCCAACUGUGAUCAACACCACGAUCAAAAGUAUCCGCAACCGAAGAUGUAGUUAAAUCUAUCGAUGAUGCUGUCAAAUACCUCAUCUCGCUGAUUGGGAACCGGAGUCACCAUAUACGCCAACAUGAAAACCAGGUCAGCUAUGCAUAUAGAGAAUCUCACCCAGAUAGACUGAAAAAACCGUUGGUCAAUGAGGCUCUCUUUUCUCAGCUGUAUUAUCUCUUUGCGGUGCCUAUUUUAGCGAACUCUUUUUCCAGCUCAAUAAGGUUGUGUUUUCACAACUUUGCUGCAUGUACACCGUAUAUUGUCCCCCGAACACCAAGCCUUCCAAUCCCAAGAACAAAAGGAAAGAGAUAGCAGCCCAAAAAUAGACCAAGUUAUCUUUCCAGCAUUGUCUUUCCUACCAGGAUUCGAAAUCCUUCUUGGCAAGACGAGCUGAAUUAUCUCCCAUAGUCCGAAACUCACAAGAACAUCAAAAAUCCGACGUGAAUGAAUUCAAUAAAGAACAGGUAUAGAUAAAAAAUAAUAAUCAAGUACGAAUAAAAUUGGUAGGGUCUCAGACAAUAUAUUGACAUAUGAGAACGUACAUGACACAUAUCACUGUGGACAUUGUCUAUGGCCUUAUUACAAGCAACAAGAGAAAUUACAUAGGCGUGUGAGUGCGCGUGCGCGCGCACACACACGUGCACACAUGCAUGACAUACAUGGAUUGACUAGAGGUCGCCCCAUAUAGUCAACAAUUUAUUGGAGGUAAACAUUAGCAUAACUUGGCCAUAGAUCGAAGCAAUCCAACAUAUGCCGAUGAAUGGCAUCCAUGUUGGUAGCAAUGCAAGCAUAUCGUUUUAGUACA
This 33630-nucleotide long non-coding RNA is filed under the name Triticum aestivum (bread wheat). Its description in RNAcentral is "long non-coding RNA (TAES_LNC015580)". The record is from RNAcentral. Lineage: Eukaryota; Viridiplantae; Streptophyta; Magnoliopsida; Poales; Poaceae.